GUGAGGAAUUUUCCGCAAUGGGCGAAAGCCUGACGGAGCAAUGCCGCGUGAAGGAUGAAGGCCUAUGGGUUGUAAACUUCUUUUCUCAGAAAAGAAUUAUGACGGUAUCUGAGGAAUAAGCAUCGGCUAACUCUGUGCCAGCAGCCGCGGUAAGACAGAGGAUGCAAGCGUUAUCCGGAAUGAUUGGGCGUAACGCGUCUGUAGGUUGUUUAAAAAGUAUUCUGUCAAAGAUUAGGGCUUAACCCUAGAUAGGCAGAAUAAACUUUUAAGCUAGAGUUUGGUAGAGGCAGAGGGAAUUCCCGGUGGAGCGGUGAAAUGCGUAGAUAUCGGGAGGAACACCAAAGGCGAAGGCACUCUGCUGGGCCAAUACUAACACUGAGAGACGAAAGCGAGGGGAGCAAAUGGGAUUAGAAACCCUAGUAGUCC
RNAcentral lists this ribosomal RNA (426 nucleotides) under uncultured bacterium. Its description in RNAcentral is "bacterial SSU rRNA". It matches the Rfam family "Bacterial small subunit ribosomal RNA", at positions 354 to 796 of the family's 1533-position model. The record is from RNAcentral.